This 225-nucleotide long non-coding RNA is filed under the name Elaeis guineensis (African oil palm). RNAcentral describes it as "long non-coding RNA (EGUI_LNC020436)". Lineage: Eukaryota; Viridiplantae; Streptophyta; Magnoliopsida; Arecales; Arecaceae. The record is from RNAcentral.
CCAAGAGGAAUAGAAAGCCCCUCUCUAAUUUUCAUAUUAGCAUCCACCCUCACCUUCUUUUUGUGUCGCACAUAAUACCUCUUCUUUUACUGAUGUUUUUAGUUUCUUUUUGUUGCACACAACCAUAACAACCGAUGGUUGUUGGUCCCUCCUUUAAAUAGAUGCCCACAUGAUCUAAUUAUGUCCUUACUGAUUUAGGACUCCUAACCAAGUAGGAAACUAACA